GGCGAACGGGUGAGUAACACGUGGGUGAUCUGCCCCUUACUUUGGGAUAAGCCUGGGAAACUGGGUCUAAUACUGGAUAGGACCAUGCUGUAGGUGGUGUGGUGGAAAGAUUAGUUUCGGUAAAGGAUGAGCUCGCGGCCUAUCAGCUUGUUGGUGGGGUAAUGGCCUACCAAGGCGUCGACGGGUAGCCGGCCUGAGAGGGUGGACGGCCACAUUGGGACUGAGAUACGGCCCAG
This 236-nucleotide ribosomal RNA is filed under the name uncultured Actinomycetales bacterium. Its description in RNAcentral is "partial 16S ribosomal RNA". It matches the Rfam family "Bacterial small subunit ribosomal RNA", at positions 97 to 334 of the family's 1533-position model. Lineage: Bacteria; Bacillati; Actinomycetota; Actinomycetes; Actinomycetales. The record is from RNAcentral.